GUGCAAGUGUUCGAAAGCACAAAGGCAGACUGUCUACCCGCGACAGUUCGCAAGUUGCGGUGGCGGGGCGGCUGUGCGGAGCGCGCGUGCAGGGCUUCAGAAGCUGAUGGCAUAGUUAUGAGAGGGGUGAAGACUGCGACUGCAUUUCCAACAGACCCUGAGGACAAUUGGGAAGAAUGCGCUGAAUAUUUUUGAGCAAUUUCUAUAUGAUAAGCAGUUUUUAGGGCAAGUAUAGGUUGCACUGAUCCUGACCUUUUGGCCUGAGGAUGGAAGUCUUCAGUAUCUGUACAACUUUACUCCCAAGAGCUGGUGUAGAAUGAGUUCCUCUGGCCAUGGGAGGAUCGCAGAGGGGCACCUGCCACCAGCAGCCCAGCCUCAGCACUUUUCUCUUCAGCGUCUUCUUCAAGGUAUUUCCAGUUGCCCGCCCUGAACUGUUUCAGAAUGAGGAGGACACCUGGAGGAAUCUACACGUGCAUAGACCAAUUUGCAAAAGAACCUGUGAGCCAACGUAGGUUGUGAGAUGCAUAUCCCACAUCCAGUUCAGCCCAGUAACUUGGGAAAUGGGGGAGAGGUAGCUCUGAAGACCAGACUUAGUACAUUUUUACCCCCAUCCAUGCUUGCAACUGUAAGUUGAUCUUAAAUUAGUACUUUUAACCAAGUCAACCUCAAUCACUUGAAUAGGAUACCCAGCUGAAAAACUUGGGGUCACUGAAUCAAUCUCUUAUCUGUAAGAGAUAAUGAUGCCCACCCAAUGGGGUUCUGAAAAAUAUGUAAUGCCUGACAUGUAGUGUAUACUCACUGAAUGUGGCUUUUAACCACAACCUUUAUAUUUUUGCCGAGUAUCACCUUUCUGCAGCAACCGUGAGAACCUCGCGCUAAGCUUGUCUUAGAUUGCUCAUUCCUUUCCUAUAUUUAGACACCAAACUCCAUUCAUUUUCCCCUUGAAAUGUUCAUUCCCAUGAUCAAGAUUUUGCUUAAACACAUUUUGUUUUCAUGUCCAGAUUAUUACCUCAGCUGGAAGAAUUAAUAAGCAACACGUUCACCCAAGAAGUAUUUACUGAGCACCUACUAUGUGCAUUAUUUUCUGGUGUUGGGGCUAGGGGGCAAACGACUCUGACAAGUCUCUGUUCUCAAGGUACUCACAUUUAUAUGGAUGAAGAUAGAUAACAAACAAGGAAAAAAUUGGACAGACAAAAAAUUUAGGUGGUGCCAAGUAUGAUGCAAACACUAAAACAGUAAUGCAAUAGAAGAUGUCAGAGGGAGAGUGGGAAGGUUACGUUAAAUAGAUGUCCAAGGAAGAUCUCUCUGAGGAGAAGCUACUAGGGCUGAGAUCUUAAUGACAACAAGGAACCCAAGGGCUGGAAGCAGAGCGUUUUGAACAUGGCCAGUGGGUGCAAAGGCCAUCACACGUGAAUGGGCCUGGCCAGGUGGAAGGACAGAGGGCAAGGCUGUUGUGGUUGCCCUGUGAGUGCGAACGGCCCAAGAUGGGAUGAAAGAGGAGGUCGGGACCACACCGUAUAGGAAUAUCAGAUCAUGGUCAGGGCUUUGGAUUUUACAGGGGUGCAGUAUAAGCCAUGGGGAGUUUUAGACAGGUACAGAAGUAAUUUACAUUUUCUUUCUUUCUUUUUUUUUUUUUUUGAAACGG
Homo sapiens (human) is the source of this 1645-nucleotide long non-coding RNA. Ensembl annotates it as AQP4 antisense RNA 1. Its record names the gene AQP4-AS1. The record is from Ensembl. Lineage: Eukaryota; Metazoa; Chordata; Mammalia; Primates; Hominidae.